This 34-nucleotide ribosomal RNA is filed under the name Campanula pyramidalis. Its description in RNAcentral is "partial 28S ribosomal RNA". The record is from RNAcentral. RNAcentral also lists the same sequence under 3 other names. Lineage: Eukaryota; Viridiplantae; Streptophyta; Magnoliopsida; Asterales; Campanulaceae.
CCCCAUGUCAGGCGGGACUACCCGCUGAAUUUAA